GUGUCAGCAGCCGCGGUAAGACAGAGGGUGCAAACGUUGCUCGGAAUUACUGGGCGUAAAGCGCGUGUAGGCGGGACGAUAAGUCAGGUGUGAAAUCCCUAGGCUCAACCUAGGAACUGCAUUUGAAACUGUCGGCCUUGAGUGAUGGAGAGGAUGGCGGAAUUCCUGGUGUAGAGGUGAAAUUCGUAGAUAUCAGGAGGAACACCGGUGGCGAAGGCGGCCAUCUGGAAAUCUACUGACGCUGAGACGCGAAAGCGUGGGGAGCAAACAGGAUUAGAUACCCUGGUAGUCC
This 292-nucleotide ribosomal RNA is filed under the name uncultured bacterium. RNAcentral's name for it is "partial 16S ribosomal RNA". It matches the Rfam family "Bacterial small subunit ribosomal RNA", at positions 505 to 796 of the family's 1533-position model. The record is from RNAcentral.